UCCCUAGUGGCUCAGACAGUAAAGAAUCUGUCUGCAAUUCAGGAGACCUGGGUUCAAUCCAUGGCUUGGGAA
This 72-nucleotide transfer RNA is filed under the name Bos taurus (domestic cattle). It matches the Rfam family "tRNA". Rfam says of the family: Transfer RNA (tRNA) molecules are approximately 80 nucleotides in length. Their secondary structure includes four short double-helical elements and three loops (D, anti-codon, and T loops). Further hydrogen bonds mediate the characteristic L-shaped molecular structure. tRNAs have two regions of fundamental functional importance: the anti-codon, which is responsible for specific mRNA codon recognition, and the 3' end, to which the tRNAs corresponding amino acid is attached (by aminoacyl-tRNA synthetases). tRNAs cope with the degeneracy of the genetic code in two manners: having more than one tRNA (with a specific anti-codon) for a particular amino acid; and 'wobble' base-pairing, i.e. permitting non-standard base-pairing at the 3rd anti-codon position. RNAcentral also lists the same sequence under 2 other names. Lineage: Eukaryota; Metazoa; Chordata; Mammalia; Artiodactyla; Bovidae. The record is from Rfam by way of RNAcentral.